GACGAACGCUGGCGGCGUGCUUAACACAUGCAAGUCGAACGGAAAGGCCCUGCUUGCAGGGUACUCGAGUGGCGAACGGGUGAGUAACACGUGGGUGAUCUGCCCUGCACUUCGGGAUAAGCCUGGGAAACUGGGUCUAAUACCGGAUAGGAGCCAUUUUUAGUGUGAUGGUUGGAAAGUUUUUUCGGUGUAGGAUGAGCUCGCGGCCUAUCAGCUUGUUGGUGGGGUAAUGGCCUACCAAAGCGGCGACGGGUAGCCGGCCUGAGAGGGUGGACGGCCACAUUGGGACUGAGAUACGGCCCAGACUCCUACGGGAGGCAGCAGUGGGGAAUAUUGCACAAUGGGCGCAAGCCUGAUGCAGCGACGCCGCGUGGGGGAUGACGGCCUUCGGGUUGUAAACUCCUUUCGCUAGGGACGAAGCUUUUUGUGACGGUACCUAGAGAAGAAGCACCGGCUAACUACGUG
Molecule: ribosomal RNA, 465 nt
Filed under: uncultured bacterium
Lineage: Bacteria
Description: partial 16S ribosomal RNA
Rfam family: Bacterial small subunit ribosomal RNA
Source: RNAcentral